This 147-nucleotide ribosomal RNA is filed under the name uncultured bacterium. RNAcentral describes it as "partial 16S ribosomal RNA". It matches the Rfam family "Bacterial small subunit ribosomal RNA", at positions 385 to 524 of the family's 1533-position model. The record is from RNAcentral.
GAUGCAGCCAUGCCGCGUGUGUGAAGAAGGCCUUCGGGUUGUAAAGCACUUUCAGUCAGGAGGAAAGGUUAGUAGUUAAUACCUGCUAGCUGUGACGUUACUGACAGAAGAAGCACCGGCUAACUCCGUGCCAGCAGCCGCGGUAAU